This is a non-coding RNA of Triticum urartu, 126 nucleotides long. The record is from Rfam. Lineage: Eukaryota; Viridiplantae; Streptophyta; Magnoliopsida; Poales; Poaceae.
GAAUUACUCCCUCCGUUCGAAAAAGCUUGUCCCUUAAACAGAUGUAUUUAACACCAAGUUAGUGCUAGAUUCAUUUAUUUGAGAAAGAAGGUUGGAACAAGUUUUUUUGAACGAAGGGAGUACUAG